RNAcentral lists this ribosomal RNA (253 nucleotides) under uncultured bacterium. Its description in RNAcentral is "partial 16S ribosomal RNA". It matches the Rfam family "Bacterial small subunit ribosomal RNA", at positions 524 to 776 of the family's 1533-position model. The record is from RNAcentral.
CACGUAGGGCGCAAGCGUUGUCCGGAAUUAUUGGGCGUAAAGAGCUCGUAGGUGGUUUGUUACGUCUGCUGUGAAAACCUAGGGCUUAACCCUGGGCUUGCAGUGGAUACGGGCAGACUAGAGGUAGGUAGGGGAGACUGGAAUUCCUGGUGUAGCGGUGAAAUGCGCAGAUAUCAGGAGGAACACCGAUGGCGAAGGCAGGUCUCUGGGCCACUACUGACGCUGAGAAGCGAAAGCAUGGGGAGCGAACAGG